UGGGGAAUAUUCCGCAAUGGACGAAAGUCUGACGGAGCAAUGCCGCGUGAGUGAUGAAGGCCUUUGGGUCGUAAAACUCUGUCUUCGGGGAUGAAACCAUUAUGUGAUAAUACCACAUAGUAUUGACAGUACCCGAGGAGGAAGCCCCGGCUAACUACGUGCCAGCAGCCGCGGUAAUACGUAGGGGGCGAGCGUUGUCCGGAAUCAUUGGGCGUAAAGGGCGUGAAGGCGGUUUUGUAAGUCAGAUGUGAAAACUUGAGGCUCAACUUCAAGCCCGCAUCUGAAACUACAUCACUUUAGGGCAGGAGAGGAAAGUGGAAUUCCAUGUGUAGCGGUGAUAUGCGUAGAUAUAUGGAAGAACACCGGUAGCGAAGUCGACUUUCUGGCCUGAUACUGACGCUGAAGCGCGAAGGCUAGGGUAGCAAACA
This 428-nucleotide ribosomal RNA is filed under the name uncultured prokaryote. RNAcentral's name for it is "bacterial SSU rRNA". It matches the Rfam family "Bacterial small subunit ribosomal RNA", at positions 355 to 774 of the family's 1533-position model. The record is from RNAcentral.